UCCUAUUGAUCAUGCAUAAAGUUUUGAUAUCACUUCAUAAUCCCUAGUAACUUAAACUUAAGCUCUAAUAUCAUUUUAUCAAAUCCUAAUCACUUAUAUCAUAAUCCCCAAUGAUUAUAACUUAAGCUCUGUUAUUACUCUGUAAUAUUUAAAUUACUUAUAUUAUAAUCCUUAAUGAUCAUAACCUGAACUCUGAUACUACUUUGUCACAUCCUAUUGAUCUUACAUAAAGUUUUUAAUAUCUCUUCAUAAUCUUUGGUGAUCUUAAACCUAAGCUCUGAUACCACUUUGUCACGCCCCGAACCCAACACCCGGGUCGGAUACGUGAUGGCCGCACACUCCUUAAAGCAAACCCUAAAGAAUAUGCAAGGUCAAAUUAAAUCAUUACAACCUUAACAUCCAUAACAAUUUAUUUCAACAAUAAUUCAUAAAAUCUUGCAUAAUUACAAAUUAAAUUUCUUCAAUCCUCUGAUCAGGUAUC
Molecule: long non-coding RNA, 481 nt
Filed under: Elaeis guineensis (African oil palm)
Lineage: Eukaryota; Viridiplantae; Streptophyta; Magnoliopsida; Arecales; Arecaceae
Description: long non-coding RNA (EGUI_LNC025522)
Source: RNAcentral